RNAcentral lists this ribosomal RNA (440 nucleotides) under uncultured bacterium. RNAcentral describes it as "partial 16S ribosomal RNA". It matches the Rfam family "Bacterial small subunit ribosomal RNA", at positions 338 to 795 of the family's 1533-position model. The record is from RNAcentral.
CCUACGGGUGACAGCAGUGGGGAAUAUUGCACAAUGGGGGAAACCCUGAUGCAGCGACGCCGCGUGAGUGAAGAAGUAAUACGUUAUGUAAAGUUCUAUCAGCAGGGAAGAAAAUGACGGUACUUGAGUAAGAAGCCCCGGCUAACUACGUGAACGCAGCCACGGUAAACCGUAGGGGGCAAGGGUUAUCCGGAUUUACUGGGUGUAAGGGGAGCGCAGGCGGCACGGCAGGCCUGAUGUGAAAGCCCGCGGCCCAACCGCUGAACUGCAGUGGGAACUGCCGGGCUGGAGUGCCGGUGAGGUAGGCGGAAUGCGUGGUGUAGCGGUGAAAUGCGUAGAUAUUAGGAGGAACACCAGUGGCGAAGGCGGCUUACGGGACUGUGACUGACGUUGAGGCUCGAAAGCGUGGGGAGCAAACAGGAUUAGAUACCCCGGUAGUC